Salvelinus sp. IW2-2015 is the source of this 393-nucleotide non-coding RNA. Lineage: Eukaryota; Metazoa; Chordata; Actinopteri; Salmoniformes; Salmonidae. The record is from RefSeq and is a predicted model, not a curated record.
GAUGAUGUACGUUUUGUGUCUGUUCAUACAGUAGACAUUGUACUGUAAAUAUGUACCCGGUGCAGCUGUAGCUCUGCGCUGUGUGUGAUUGAUUGAGACUAAAGACGUGGACCUCGGAUAUCAGGUUGUUUUAAUAGUUCUCUCCUGCAUCCAAAAGAAAAUACACAACAUUUGAAGAGCACAAAUAUGUGCGUGUCUCGAGCUAGAGAGGCAGUUUUCGCCCAGCCAGUGGUCGCACAGAAUGUCGGCAGACGACGUUAUCAAAUCCCACGUGACGGCGCUCAAAGAAGGUACGGAGCGUGCCCGUGGCCUGGCCCAGACCCUCCUCAACGUUCCCUAUGGAGAAGGAGAGGGGGAGAAACUAGAUGUCUAUGUUCCCACCACCACUUCUCU